Molecule: ribosomal RNA, 569 nt
Filed under: uncultured bacterium
Lineage: Bacteria
Description: bacterial SSU rRNA
Rfam family: Bacterial small subunit ribosomal RNA
Source: RNAcentral
AGAUUGAACGCUGGCGGCAGGCUUAACUCAUGCAAGUCGAGCGGUAACAGAGAGUAGCUUGCUACUUUGCUGACGAGCGGCGGACGGGUGAGUAAUGCUUGGGAAUAUGCCUUAUGGUGGGGGACAACAGUUGGAAACGACUGCUAAUACCGCAUAACGUCUACGGACCAAAGGGGGGGAUCUUCGGACCUCUCGCCAUUUGAUUAGCCCAAGUGAGAUUAGCUAGUUGGUGAGGUAAAGGCUCACCAAGGCGACGAUCUCUAGCUGGUUUGAGAGGAUGAUCAGCCACACUGGGACUGAGACACGGCCCAGACUCCUACGGGAGGCAGCAGUGGGGAAUAUUGCACAAUGGGCGAAAGCCUGAUGCAGCCAUGCCGCGUGUGUGAAGAAGGCCUUCGGGUUGUAAAGCACUUUCAGUUGUGAGGAAAGGAGUGUAGUUAAUAGCUGCAUUCUGUGACGUUAACAACAGAAGAAGCACCGGCUAACUUCGUGCCAGCAGCCGCGGUAAUACGAGGGGUGCAAGCGUUAAUCGGAAUUACUGGGCGUAAAGCGUUCGUAGGCGGUCUAUU